GAAGGUGUGCUGUGAGGCAUGCUGGAGGUAUCAGAAGUGCGAAUGCUGACAUAAGUAACGAUAAAGCGGGUGAAAAGCCCGCUCGCCGGAAGACCAAGGGUUCCUGUCCAACGUUAAUCGGGGCAGGGUGAGUCGACCCCUAAGGCGAGGCCGAAAGGCGUAGUCGAUGGGAAACAGGUUAAUAUUCCUGUACUUGGUGUUACUGCGAAGGGGGGACGGAGAAGGCUAUGUUGGCCGGGCGACGGUUGUCCCGGUUUAAGCGUGUAGGCUGGUUUUCCAGGCAAAUCCGGAAAACUAAGGCUGAGGCGUGAUGACGAGGCACUACGGUGCUGAAGCAACAAAUGCCCUGCUUCCAGGAAAAGCCUCUAAGCAUCAGGUAACAUCAAAUCGUACCCCAAACCGACACAGGUGGUCAGGUAGAGAAUACCAAGGCGCUUGAGAGAACUCGGGUGAAGGAACUAGGCAAAAUGGUGCCGUAACUUCGGGAGAAGGCACGCUGAUAUGUAGGUGAAGUCCCUCGCGGAUGGAGCUGAAAUCAGUCGAAGAUACCAGCUGGCUGCAACUGUUUAUUAAAAACACAGCACUGUGCAAACACGAAAGUGGACGUAUACGGUGUGACGCCUGCCCGGUGCCGGAAGGUUAAUUGAUGGGGUCAGCGCAAGCGAAGCUCUUGAUCGAAGCCCCGGUAAACGGCGGCCGUAACUAUAACGGUCCUAAGGUAGCGAAAUUCCUUGUCGGGUAAGUUCCGACCUGCACGAAUGGCGUAAUGAUGGCCAGGCUGUCUCCACCCGAGACUCAGUGAAAUUGAACUCGCUGUGAAGAUGCAGUGUACCCGCGGCAAGACGGAAAGACCCCGUGAACCUUUACUAUAGCUUGACACUGAACAUUGAGCCUUGAUGUGUAGGAUAGGUGGGAGGCUUUGAAGUGUGGACGCCAGUCUGCAUGGAGCCGACCUUGAAAUACCACCCUUUAAUGUUUGAUGUUCUAACGUUGACCCGUAAUCCGGGUUGCGGACAGUGUCUGGUGGGUAGUUUGACUGGGGCGGUCUCCUCCUAAAGAGUAACGGAGGAGCACGAAGGUUGGCUAAUCCUGGUCGGACAUCAGGAGGUUAGUGCAAUGGCAUAAGCCAGCUUGACUGCGAGCGUGACGGCGCGAGCAGGUGCGAAAGCAGGUCAUAGUGAUCCGGUGGUUCUGAAUGGAAGGGCCAUCGCUCAACGGAUAAAAGGUACUCCGGGGAUAACAGGCUGAUACCGCCCAAGAGUUCAUAUCGACGGCGGUGUUUGGCACCUCGAUGUCGGCUCAUCACAUCCUGGGGCUGAAGUAGGUCCCAAGGGUAUGGCUGUUCGCCAUUUAAAGUGGUACGCGAGCUGGGUUUAGAACGUCGUGAGACAGUUCGGUCCCUAUCUGCCGUGGGCGCUGGAGAACUGAGGGGGGCUGCUCCUAGUACGAGAGGACCGGAGUGGACGCAUCACUGGUGUUCGGGUUGUCAUGCCAAUGGCACUGCCCGGUAGCUAAAUGCGGAAGAGAUAAGUGCUGAAAGCAUCUAAGCACGAAACUUGCCCCGAGAUGAGUUCUCCCUGACUCCUUGAGAGUCCUGAAGGAACGUUGAAG
RNAcentral lists this ribosomal RNA (1611 nucleotides) under Escherichia coli. RNAcentral's name for it is "partial 23S ribosomal RNA". It matches the Rfam family "Bacterial large subunit ribosomal RNA", at positions 1252 to 2843 of the family's 2925-position model. RNAcentral also lists the same sequence under 2 other names. The record is from RNAcentral. Lineage: Bacteria; Pseudomonadati; Pseudomonadota; Gammaproteobacteria; Enterobacterales; Enterobacteriaceae.